Molecule: long non-coding RNA, 1642 nt
Filed under: Aquilegia coerulea
Lineage: Eukaryota; Viridiplantae; Streptophyta; Magnoliopsida; Ranunculales; Ranunculaceae
Description: long non-coding RNA (ACOE_LNC001888)
Source: RNAcentral
AACAACAUGUGUUAAUUUAAGCAUUUGUCUGUCGAUUCACAUUCAAAUCUGUUGUUAGAUGGAUGGAUAGUGUUUUGUACAGGUAAAAUGUAAUUUCCAGGAAAAAGACACCAAAGGCUAUCAUUAUAAAAAGACCCCAAAGUCUCAUCAGACAAUGGUAAAUAAAAAUAGAGUACAAGUUGUGGACUUUUGUGCUAGUUGAAUUAUCAAAUUGCAUGCCUGGAAUAUACCUAAAGCUAGCUGACUAGCUCUCCCAACUUCAUUUGCAUCUGAGCUUUUUGCUGCAAAUGGCGCUGUGCUUCCCUUGUGCAUCCAUGUGAAAUACCUGUUGAUUCAGAUUUCAGAACUAGCUAGGUUGAUUCUUUACUAAUUUCAAAAAGCAAUAAUAAACUGGUUCAUGUUUAAAAAAGUUAUGUAGCACCUAACCAAUAUUCUUAAUGAUUUUAUUCAUGCUUAUGACACUUGAAUACUUCAUACAUUUUUGUCUUAGUAUGAUAAAUUGCAUGCCUAAAGCACUUCAAUUUAAAACUUGGAUCUAAGUCAGCACUACUUAUCGCUUUAUCAAUAAUAAUAUAACCUAGUAUGGGUUUAGUUAACCCUAGUGGGCUCAAUCAGUUUUUCAACCAUUUUAUAGACACGUGGCAUCAUAUGAUUGGGUGUACACACCCACAUACAAGUUGGCUACACAUAAAUUUUUUUGCUAUGAUUCUAAAGACCAGCCUCUUAUACAAUUGGUAAGUUAUUAAAAUACAUUAUAUUUGUUAACUGAGAAACCCUAAUUGUCUUUAUAAUUAGCACACAAUUACCACAUAUUUACUGGUUUAAUUCCAUUUACAACAUUUACCAAAACAACAAAAAUGAUUUCAAUACUUUUGAUCCAUGCCAAAAAAAUAGUUAAUCUACUGUCCUUACUUGUUAUGGGAACAAUGUAGUUCUGUACAUCUGUGUACACUGUACACACACAUGUAUGUUUUCUAUUUUUUUUUUUUUUUUUCUGAUUUGUGUAGUUCUCCAAUUCUUGUGUUUACACACACACAAAAAGAAUAAAAAAAAUGAUUGAGUUUAUUAGGAAAUAACAGGGAUAUGAUUUAGUCUGAUUUGCCUUGAACCACUUGAGUUCAUGACUUGAAAAAAAUACAAGCAUGUGAAAAUUAUGAGUGCAUAAAAUUUGACAAAACUCAACUCUGAAUCCCUAUUCAAUAAUUGUAUAGCAUUAUCUUCCAGACAGCUAGUAAUUACUUUUUAAAUAGGACUAAACGUGAUCAUUUACUUUCCCCCAACUAAUAUACUGUAUAUUAUUAAAUAACAGUCCAUCACCCUAGAGUCUAUAUAAGCUUUAGUCAUCUUCACCAAUUCUUCACAACAACAAAGCUAUUCUUACUCCAGUAACUGAGUGUCUGAGACAAUGUCUCUCUCCCUCUUAGCCACCUCCACUGUCCCUUCAUCAUCUUUGCUAAAUGUUAACCCUCUAAGAAGUAACACAAAGAACCGAUCCACGGUUCGUGUAGGUAAGAAAGUUGCUUAUACAUCUUGUGAGCAAAAACAAAGUAAUGAAGGAGAUAGCCAUACCAUUGAUAGGCGAAAUGUACUACUUGGGUUGGGAGGACUCUAUGGUGCCUCGGCUACUAUUGGUAGUCAAGGC